GUAGGUGGCAAGCGUUGUCCGGAAUUAUUGGGCGUAAAGCGCGCGCAGGCGGUUCUUUAAGUCUGAUGUGAAAGCCCACGGCUCAACCGUGGAGGGUCAUUGGAAACUGGAGAACUUGAGUACAGAAGAGGAAAGCGGAAUUCCACGUGUAGCGGUGAAAUGCGUAGAGAUGUGGAGGAACACCAGUGGCGAAGGCGGCUUUCUGGUCUGUAACUGACGCUGAGGCGCGAAAGCGUGGGGAGCAAACAGGGAUUAGAUACCCUGGUAGUCCACGCCGUAAACGAUGAGUGCUAAGUGUUAGGGGGGGUUUUCCGCCCCCUUAGUGCUGCAGCUAACGCAUUAAGCACCCCCGCCUGGGGAGUACGGCCGCAAGGCUG
Molecule: ribosomal RNA, 377 nt
Filed under: uncultured organism
Description: partial 16S ribosomal RNA
Rfam family: Bacterial small subunit ribosomal RNA
Source: RNAcentral